UACGUAGGGUGCAAGCGUUGUCCGGAAUUAUUGGGCGUAAAGAGCGUGUAGGCGGCCCGAUUAGUCCGCUGUGAAAGUCCAGGGCUCAACCCUGGAAUGCCGGUGGAUACUGUCGGGCUAGAGUCCGGAAGGGGCGAGUGGAAUUCCUGGUGUAGCGGUGAAAUGCGCAGAUAUCAGGAGGAACACCAAUGGCGAAGGCAGCUCGCUGGGACGUGACUGACGCUGAGACGCUAAAGCGUGGGGAGCAAACAGG
RNAcentral lists this ribosomal RNA (253 nucleotides) under uncultured bacterium. RNAcentral describes it as "partial 16S ribosomal RNA". It matches the Rfam family "Bacterial small subunit ribosomal RNA", at positions 524 to 776 of the family's 1533-position model. The record is from RNAcentral.